Molecule: ribosomal RNA, 103 nt
Filed under: Haptorida sp.
Lineage: Eukaryota; Ciliophora; Litostomatea; Haptorida
Description: partial small subunit ribosomal RNA
Rfam family: Eukaryotic small subunit ribosomal RNA
Source: RNAcentral
GCUCCUACCGAUACCGGAGGAUCCGGUGAACCUUUUGGUCCGUUCGCGGGAAGAUAAGUAAACCUUAUCACCUAGAGGAAGCAGAAGUCGUAACAAGGUUUCC